Molecule: ribosomal RNA, 520 nt
Filed under: uncultured bacterium
Lineage: Bacteria
Description: bacterial SSU rRNA
Rfam family: Bacterial small subunit ribosomal RNA
Source: RNAcentral
AUGAACGCUGGCGGCGUGCCUAACACAUGCAAGUUGAACGUGAAAGCUUCCUUCGGGAAGCAAGUAGAGUAGCAGACGGGUGAGUAAUGCAUAGGUAAUCUACCCUUGAGUGGGGGACAACUUACCGAAAGGUGAGCUAAUCCCGCAUAAUGUCCUAUUAUAUAAAUAUGUGGACCAAAGGGGGGGAUUCUUCGGAACCUCCUGCUUGAGGAUGAGCUUAUGUCCUAUUAGCUAGUUGGUGGGGUAAAAGCCUACCAAGGCAAUGAUGGGUAGCCGAGCUGAGAGGCUGAUCGGCCACACUGGAACUGAGACACGGUCCAGACUCCUACGGGAGGCAGCAGUGGGGAAUUUUGCGCAAUGGGCGAAAGCCUGACGCAGCGACGCCGCGUGAGGGAUGAAGGUCUUCGUGAUCGUAAACCUCUGUCAGGAAGGAUUAAAUGCACUAGUGCCAAUACCAUUAGUGCUUGACUUAACUUCCAGAGGAAGCCCCGGCUAACUACGUGCCAGCAGCCGCGGUAAU